ACCUGACUGGCUCAGCCGGUGGAGCACGUGACUCUUGAUCUCAAGAUUAUGAGUUUGAGCCUCUUGUUGGGUA
Molecule: transfer RNA, 73 nt
Filed under: Mustela putorius furo (domestic ferret)
Lineage: Eukaryota; Metazoa; Chordata; Mammalia; Carnivora; Mustelidae
Rfam family: tRNA
About the family: Transfer RNA (tRNA) molecules are approximately 80 nucleotides in length.
Source: Rfam by way of RNAcentral